This is a small nucleolar RNA of Ornithorhynchus anatinus (platypus), 71 nucleotides long. RefSeq annotates it as small nucleolar RNA SNORD18. NCBI's taxonomy places the organism in Eukaryota, Metazoa, Chordata, Mammalia, Monotremata, Ornithorhynchidae. The record is from RefSeq and is a predicted model, not a curated record. The transcript has a single exon.
UACAGAUGAUGAGAUUCCAUUUCAUUGGUCCGUGUUUCUGAAAUACGUGAUUUGAUGGAACUUCUGACUGG